RNAcentral lists this ribosomal RNA (470 nucleotides) under uncultured eukaryote. Its description in RNAcentral is "bacterial SSU rRNA". It matches the Rfam family "Bacterial small subunit ribosomal RNA", at positions 28 to 509 of the family's 1533-position model. The record is from RNAcentral.
GAUGAACGCUGGCGGUAUGCCUUACACAUGCAAGUCGAACGGAAAUUAGCUUCGGUUAAUUUUAGUGGCGGACGGGUGAGUAACACGUGAGAAUUCGCCUNUAGGAGGGGGAUAACGGAUGGAAACAUUCGCUAAAACCCCAUAUGCCCCUGGGUGAAACAGAGGAGAUAAGUAAUACUGACUCACCUCUGCCUGAAGAGAAGCUCGCGGCUGAUUAGCUAGUUGGUAGGGUAAAGGCCUACCAAGGCGACGAUCAGUAGCUGGUCUGAGAGGACGAUCAGCCACACUGGAACUGAGACACGGUCCAGACUCCUACGGGAGGCAGCAAUGAGGAAUUUUCUGCAAUGGGCGAAAGCCUGACAGAGCAAUACCGCGUGAGGGAUGAAGACUUACUGAGUUGUAAACCUCGGUACCUUAAGGAAGAAGAUCUGACGGUACUUAAGGUGGAAAGCAUCGGCUAACUCCGUGCC